UAAAAUAUAAUUGUGAACGCGUUCGGCUCAACAAUAGGGAAAAAAUCGUAAACAGCAGCGCGUACACACGCAGAACAAUAAAGUACCAGCCGACGAGGUGUCAUUAAAACGCACAAUUACUCGCGCAAAUACUUCAAGCCCUAGGCUCAGAAAAAAACACGCCAAGGGUGAAAUUAGGGAAAAUCUAGUGGACAACAAUAAAAGAAAGCCAAAAAAUACAAUUAGUUCAAGCAAUUUAAAAAGUUUCCACCCUGAAAGUUAUCCAUUCCGACAUUGAAAGAUUUCCACCAUUUCCAAGCAAAAAUCAUGAAUGUGUUUUCAUGAGUCAUUCUUCGAAGCAAAGCUGAAUCAACGCCGAGCGCGAAUAAGUUCUACAGACAAUAAGCAGCAUGAUUUACAUCGGACACAUAGCUUAUAUCAAGGACGUGAGGUUGGCACCGACCAACACAGAGCACAAUACCACAGAAUAUCCCACAAUAUCGCAUUGUGCACGGCGAUUGAGGAAGCAGUGCGAAGGAGCGAGCGCUGAUGUUGUGUGUAUCGGGGGGAUGGUUGAUUUUGACCUAUUUUCGUCGGGAUAACGCUGCGCUCGGUGACCUACAUUCAGUACGGCGCAAACUACGCAAAGGAAAAUCAAUUGUAUCCUUUCGCGCGUGCAGGAGAACAACUGUAGAGGACUACUACAGGAAUUCCACAGCAAAUAUUUUAUAAUAAAAUAAUCUCUUUAUAAUGAAACACAAAUAAAAAAUAGAAAAUCGUUUUCAAAAACUCACCAGCGAUGUAACUGCUGUUUUCCGA
Molecule: long non-coding RNA, 798 nt
Organism: Dalotia coriaria
Lineage: Eukaryota; Metazoa; Arthropoda; Insecta; Coleoptera; Staphylinidae
Exons: 3
Source: RefSeq, a predicted model, not a curated record